GAUUAAAUGGCUGAAGUUUAGGCAAUAGACUGUAAAUCUAUCCAUGAGAAUUAUUCUCUUUAAUCAAA
RNAcentral lists this transfer RNA (68 nucleotides) under Scathophaga stercoraria (yellow dung fly). Its description in RNAcentral is "tRNA-Tyr". It matches the Rfam family "tRNA". Rfam says of the family: Transfer RNA (tRNA) molecules are approximately 80 nucleotides in length. The record is from RNAcentral. Lineage: Eukaryota; Metazoa; Arthropoda; Insecta; Diptera; Scathophagidae.